RNAcentral lists this long non-coding RNA (2273 nucleotides) under Mus musculus (house mouse). Its description in RNAcentral is "long non-coding RNA chr3:88030877-88033150". Lineage: Eukaryota; Metazoa; Chordata; Mammalia; Rodentia; Muridae. The record is from RNAcentral.
CAGAAUAGGAGGGCUGAGCUUGGCCAGCUCAGAACUACCUUAGCUGCUAGAGGAGACCUCUGAGGAAGACUGAGGAAAGAGUACGCUGUGAACCGCCGCUGGUGUGUGUACUCAGGCUACUCUCAACUCAGGUCUCCAGAUCCUGUGAAGAGGAAGCAGGUGGGUGCUCCCGGCCUAGCAUCUUCCCCAGAGAAGUUUGCUCUCAGGACUUGACUCCCUUUCUGUGGCUUCCGAUUUAGUGGCUGUGGUAAAGCCAAGCGUGGUCCCUCCCAGUUUUACCACUAGAUGGUCACUUAAGUUGCUGGAAAGACUGAUAGGAUGCAGCUGCAGAGGUUGAGAGAGGCAGGGCUCCCAUCGGUUUCAGUGACUUUCACACAGCUGCAUCCAGGGGCCUCUCUAGGCGGCUGAGUCUUGCCACACUAAAGGGUGAGUCUGAGAAUGAGCCACAAGGACAUCACACUUCCACUCAGGGACGCUUUAAAAGUCCCCCCAUGAGUUAGGGUGAAGGUUCAAAUAGGAAAAUGAGAAGGGCAAAGGGGAGGGUCCCGGGGAACAAAGAGAUGUGUCAUUACUAAUUAGCAGCUGAAGGAAGGCGGAAGGUGGAGAGAGGAAGCUAAAACAUAGCGGGAUCUCAGCCUCCUGGCGCAGUCGCAGUCUCAGUCGAUGUAGAGACCGCUGCCCUGACAGACAGGGUCCUCUCCAUGCAGAUGCCCUGUGAGCCUAGAAGUGCUGGCUGGGAUUCAGCGACCUGUUCUCCUCUCUGAUCUCAUUAUUUGGAACCCUUGAGUAGGAGUUGCCCAAUACCUGCUGAGAAUCUAGAACCCAAACUAGUCUGUGGGAGGAAAGACCAGGGGUGGCAUGGGGGUGUACCUUCCUGAUGUCACGUUCUCACCCCAACCUAGCAGAGAUCCAGAGAGAGGACCAGGAGCUCUUGGGGCUGUUGAAGGUUCACCGACUGAAUUUUGCUUAUGAACAAUCAUGUCAACCCACCAUCUGCUUGCAACUGUCAGUCCACUCUUAAGUCAAAUUCUUGCUGAACUGCCCCUGUAGAUAAUUUAAGAUCUUGACUUCUCACCCUGUUAACCUGUCUUGUUCUCCUGGGCCUCAGAGCUCAGUUUCUGAAGCUAGGCAGGCCUUCACCUGGAAAUCCUCCUGGCUCAGUCUCCUGCAUAGCUGAAGUGUACCUGAGACACUAUAUGCAGCUUCACUCCUCAGGCCUUGGCUGUCUUUCCAGCCUGUUGGUGCACAUACCCAGAUUCACUGAGGUCAGUCUUAAACCCAGAGGUGAGGUCUGCAUGUGUGGUGCCUUCAUUCUCACGCUGGAUGGAAUGGUUAACAGAAACAAGCAAACCCCAUCUUACUUCUUUUUUUCUCUACAUUCUUCCAAACAGGAGGAACCAACCUCAGCAAAUGGGAUUGUUUAUUUCACAGUGGUGAAGGGCGGACGCAAUGGGCAUGACAGCUCACACUCUUGGUUGUCAGCUUAGUGACAUGCAAGGUUAACUAAACCCAAGCAGCUGAGCACACCUGUGAGGAAUUCUCUUCAUCCAAUCCAGGAAGACCUGGCUUUGUGCCUGGAGCAUCCCUCAUGCGACUGCAUGGUGGGGGUGGGGUGGGGGUGGGGUCAGUAAAGGGCUUGGAGGUGAAGCACUCUGGAGACAGUUUCAGGGAUUGGCUUCUGCUGUAUUGCACAUGAGCAGCUGUUUAUCUUGUGGAAGCCUAUCGGCUGUGAUUGGUUAGCACAUUACCUCAGAUUGGACUCAUAUUGCCUGGGUCUCUGUGCAGAAGAAGCACACAAACAGACUUGGAGAAUGCAGAUGCAUCAGCAGGCCAGCUACCACCUACGGAUGCUACUUCAGCAUUCCGUGUUCUGACUCUCGGAAUACCCAGGAGCAUGGUGUGCCAGGUGUCUCUCUUAGAAGCAGUGUGCUCGUAGUCCGACUGCCAGGUCAGGCGUGCAUUUUUUCCUACAGAGACCCACCCUAAAUCUGCAUCUUUUGAAGUGGGAGUAUCUACCUUAAAUCUGGACCACACCUUCUGGUGGCAAACUCCAUAAAGGACAUGGAAGAAGGACGCUUUCGCUCUUUGCCUGCUUGCCUUGCUCUUCCCUCAUUGCUCUUUCAGCCUACGUAUACUGAAGACCAGCGGAGACAUCCAGGCUCGAGGACUGAACAAGUACUGGGUUCUUGGACUUUACUUUGGAGACAGCCAUUGUCAAACUAGCUGAACCACAGCCUGUAAGCCACUCUAAUAAAUCAGAUAUGAUUUACUCU